Long non-coding RNA from Heterocephalus glaber (naked mole-rat), 675 nucleotides. RefSeq lists it as uncharacterized. The record is from RefSeq and is a predicted model, not a curated record. NCBI's taxonomy places the organism in Eukaryota, Metazoa, Chordata, Mammalia, Rodentia, Bathyergidae.
UGGCAUUGGAGUCUGUGCAGGAAAAUGUCAUCUCCUCAGAGAGGUCUCGUCUGAAGGCUCCAAUACAGACAUGUAUGUGGUUGGCAUUUUCAUAGCAUUGAGAGACAUGUGAGUGACUUGCCCUGAAUUCAGGCAAUGAUGGACAUUCCUCUGUAUUCAUCUUCUCCUGCUAUCGGAGCCAGUUGGUAUCAGCGAGCUGCUGCAGUGGAUGGGGCUUGAAACGCUAAUAUCUCCAUAAUAUCAAGGCACUAAUCAGAUUAGUGGAACUUCAGAUGUUUUCUGAGAUGUGUCUGUGAUGCUGGGCCAUCACCUGCUUGGCUACCUUAAAUGUCACCAGGAGAAAACAUGCCUUUCUAACAGACACUGACGCUUAGGGAGGAAAGACCUGGCUCAAAUGAGGCAGACACUAAGAGGUGGAGAGAAACAACCUCACCCUGUGCCCGAGGGCAGUGUGGUCUCAUGCCCUGGCCAGUGCCUCCUGGUCAUGUGGCAGGUGUGCUGUCGGCUUUGCACACUGAAAAUGGGCUGUGGACUUUGAGAAAAGCAAGACCCCGAAGGCAUGCAUCCAUUGCAAGAUUCCAACAUCAGGCUUUUAUGCAAACUGCAAGACAGUCCUAAUAUUCCAGGCUUUAAAAAAACGAACAUCUGAAGAAAUAAAUGAGUCUAAAAUAAACU